Molecule: unclassified non-coding RNA, 328 nt
Filed under: soil metagenome
Description: partial contains 5.8S ribosomal RNA, internal transcribed spacer 2, and large subunit ribosomal RNA
Rfam family: 5.8S ribosomal RNA (bases 1-120)
Source: RNAcentral
GAUGAAGAACGUAGCGAAAUGCGAUAAGUAAUGUGAAUUGCAGAAUUCAGUGAAUCAUCGAAUCUUUGAACGCACAUUGCGCCCCCUGGUAUUCCGGGGGGCAUGCCUGUCCGAGCGUCAUUACAACCCUCAAGCUCAGCUUGGUAUUGGGCCCCGCCGCUUCGGCGGGCCCUAAAGUCAGUGGCGGUGCCGUCCGGCUCCGAGCGUAGUAAUUCUUCUCGCUCUGGAGGCCCGGUCGUGUGCUUGCCAGCAACCCCCAAUUUUUUUCAGGUUGACCUCGGAUCAGGUAGGGAUACCCGCUGAACUUAAGCAUAUCAAUAAGCGAGGA